RNAcentral lists this ribosomal RNA (440 nucleotides) under uncultured bacterium. RNAcentral's name for it is "partial 16S ribosomal RNA". It matches the Rfam family "Bacterial small subunit ribosomal RNA", at positions 338 to 795 of the family's 1533-position model. The record is from RNAcentral.
CCUACGGGAGGCAGCAGUAGGGAAUAUUGCUCAAUGGGGGAAACCCUGAAGCAGCAACGCCGCGUGGAGGAUGAAGGUUUUAGGAUUGUAAACUCCUUUUGUGAGAGAAGAUAAUGACGGUAUCUCACGAAUAAGCACCGGCUAACUCCGUGCCAGCAGCCGCGGUAAUACGGGGGGUGCAAGCGUUACUCGGAAUCACUGGGCGUAAAGAGUGCGCAGGCGGGCUUGUAAGUCAGAUGUGAAAUCCUGUAGCUUAACUACAGAACUGCAUUUGAAACUAUGAGUCUAGAGUGUGGGAGAGGUAGGUGGAAUUCUUGGUGUAGGGGUAAAAUGCGUAGAUAUCAAGAGGAAUACUCAUUGCGAAGGCGACCUACUGGAACAUUACUGACGCUCAUGCACGAAAGCGUGGGGAGCAAACAGGAUUAGAUACCCCUGUAGUC